RNAcentral lists this long non-coding RNA (308 nucleotides) under Nicotiana benthamiana. Its description in RNAcentral is "long non-coding RNA (NBEN_LNC024280)". The record is from RNAcentral. Lineage: Eukaryota; Viridiplantae; Streptophyta; Magnoliopsida; Solanales; Solanaceae.
UUUGAAUUCUGAAAGAGACUAACUUUAUUAUCACCAAAAGAACAUGUAUAACUGGAAAUGUCCAAUUUGGGAACAGAAAUUAAAUUCCGUCUAAAAGAUGGUACAACAAAAGUCUCAUCCAAAUCUAAUUGAAAAUCGGUCUUAAACAACAGCCUAAAUUUGCCAAUAGCCUUAGCUGGCACCUUCUUGCCGUCACCCACAUAGAUGUAUCUUUCACCAUCAUUUGGUUUUCGGCAGUUCAGGCACCCCUGCAUAGAUAUACUUAUGUGAGUAGUAGCAGCAGAAUCUACCCACCAAGUAUCCUUAGG